This 992-nucleotide ribosomal RNA is filed under the name Klebsiella pneumoniae. Its description in RNAcentral is "bacterial SSU rRNA". It matches the Rfam family "Bacterial small subunit ribosomal RNA". Lineage: Bacteria; Pseudomonadati; Pseudomonadota; Gammaproteobacteria; Enterobacterales; Enterobacteriaceae. The record is from RNAcentral.
GGGGGCCAAAGCUUUUUUUUGGGAAAUUAAUUGGGGGGUAAAAGCGCCCCCCCGGGCGGUUUUGUCAAAAUUCGGAAUUUGAAAUUCCCCGGGGUUCAACCCUGGGGAACUGCCAUUCCGAAACGGGCCGGGCUUUGAAUCUUUGUAGAAGGGGGGUAGAAAUUCCCAGGGGGUAGCGGGUGAAAAUGCGUAGAGAUCUGGAGGAAUAACCGGUGGCGAAGGCGGCCCCCCCGGACAAAAGACUGACGCUCAGGUGCGAAAAGCGUGGGGAGCAAACACGAUUAGAUACCCCUGGUAGUCCACGCCGUAAACGAUGUCGAUUUGGAGGUUGUGCCCCUGAGGGCGUGGCUUCCGGAGCUAACGCGUUAAAUCGACCGCCUGGGGAGUACGGCCGCAAGGUUAAAACUCAAAUGAAUUGACGGGGGCCCGCACAAGCGGUGGAGCAUGUGGUUUAAUUCGAUGCAACGCGAAGAACCUUACCUGGUCUUGACAUUCACAGAACUUUCCAGAGAUGGAUUGGUGCCUUUUGGAACUGUGAGACAGGUGCCGCAUGGCUGUCCUCAACUCGUGUUGUGAAAAGUUAGGUUAAGUUCCGCAACGAGGGCAAACCUUAUCCUUUGGUUGCAAGGGUUUGGCCCGGGAAUCAAAAGGAAGGAUUCCAGCCAUAAAUAAGCCGGAGGAAGGGGUGGAGGCCGUCAAGUCAUCACGGUCCGUACGAGCAGGGCUACACACGUCCUACAAUGGCACAUACAAAGAGAAGCGACCUCGCGAGAGCAAGCGGACCUCAUAAAGUAUGUCGUAGUCCGGAUUGGAGUCUGCAACUCGACUCCAUGAAGUCGGAAUCGGUAGUAAUCGUAGAUCAGAAUGCUACGGUGAAUACGUUCCCGGGCCUUGUACACACCGCCCGUCACUCCAUGCGAGUGGGCUGUAGAAGAAGUACGUGGCUUCAAUAAGUGGUAACAAGGUAGCCCAUUGGAAGGUUUCCUGCCCCC